CCUACGGGAGGCUGCAGUGAGGAAUAUUGGUCAAUGGGCGUAAGCCUGAACCAACCAAGUCGCGUGAGGGAUGAAGGUCCUAUGGAUCGUAAACCUCUUUUAUAAGGGAAUAAAGUGUGGGACGUGUCCUAUUUUGUAUGUACCUUAUGAAUAAGGAUCGGCUAACUCCGUGCCAGCAGCCGCGGUAAUACGGAGGAUCCGAGCGUUAUCCGGAUUUAUUGGGUUUAAAGGGUGCGUAGGCGGCCUUUUAAGUCAGCGGUGAAAGUCUGUGGCUCAACCAUGGAAUUGCCGUUGAAACUGGGGGGCUUGAGUAUGUGUGAGGCAGGCGGAAUGCGUGGUGUAGCGGUGAAAUGCUUAGAUAUCACGAAGAACCCCGAUUGCGAAGGCAGCCUGCCACGCCAUGACUGACGCUGAUGCACGAAAGCGUGGGGAUCAAACAGGAUUAGAUACCCCUGUAGUC
Molecule: ribosomal RNA, 460 nt
Filed under: uncultured bacterium
Lineage: Bacteria
Description: partial 16S ribosomal RNA
Rfam family: Bacterial small subunit ribosomal RNA
Source: RNAcentral